ACGGCCUAAAUGGUGACUCAGUUGCUUUUCCAGGAGAAGAAGCAAGCUACGGCAAAGAAGUUGGAGUCGUGGCUGCAAAUUCCGGUGAUCCAAGCGCGGGUCUCUGACGAAACCUCUUUACCUCUCUGUUUCAACUUAAAAGUGGAAGUUUGGAACAGUGUGGGAACAAAUAACAUGUUUGUGUUGAAGAGAACAACAAAACAACAGUAACCACUUGCAAUAAGUUUUCUUUCUGAGUAAGUCGAUGAUCAUAUGAUCUUGUUAAAAGUUCAUUAUUAUGCAACAAACUUAUGUUUAUACAUGUUUAAAGUUUAGUUUGAGAGCAUGUUUUCUCAGUUGUAAUAUUUAGUAAAAUAGAUUCAAGUGCUCUACUCAUUGUUAAUGCAUUUGGUUAAUCUUCACUAUACAUCUAUCUAUUCAAGGAUUUGGCUAAAAUUUCAAAUUGAUUUCAUUUUUAAAGAGAAACUUAACAUUUAGUUCGGAAAUCAAUUGCUUCAUAACUCUAAUCAUAAUGAGUAAAGAAUCCAGUUUAUCGACACGUAAGUCUGAGUAUAAUGCUUCCUUUCAAUAACUGUGUCAAUGAUUCUAACUCUUAUCAGCUAUUAUGUUUCUUUAUCAGAGCUGUUGCAGCUGAAGUCUGUGAGGAACUGUUUAGUCCAGUUCCUCCUCAUGCUGAGCUUGCGUUGAACGGUGUGGAGGUGUUUAUGAAUGCGAGUGGGAGUCAUCACCAGCUAAGAAAGCUUGAUAUUCGUUUGAAUGCUUUCAUGGGGGCUACUCACGCUCGCGGUGGGGUUUAUAUGUACAGUAAUCAACAGGGAUGCGAUGGUGGCCGCUUAUACUACGGUUUGUUCAUUUCUGAGUAAUCCUAUCUUCUCUUUUAGUGACCAUCUUGAUUUGUUUCGUUUUAACUCAAUUGCAGAUGGAUGUGCAUGCAUUGUUGUAAAUGGGGAUGUUGUAGCUCAAGGGUCACAGUUCUCGUUGAAGGACGUUGAGGUCAUCACUUCCCAAGUGGACCUAGAUGCGGUACCCUACAGUUAACCUCUGGUUUUACUUUCUUUUGAUGAUAUAUAUAUAUAUAUAAUCAUCUUGCUUUCUUUGCUUUGGGAAAGGUUGCUAGUCUUCGCGGAUCGAUAAGUAGUUUUCAGGAACAAGCAAGUUGUAAGGUGAAAGUAUCUUCAGUAUACGUGCCCUGUAGGCUGACUCAGUCCUUCAACCUAAAAAUGACACUAAGCAGUCCAAAGAAGGUUCUCUAUCCCUCUGCUUCCUAUAUGUUUAAAAGUGAAUGUUUUAAAAGUUUCCAAAUCUAAUACUUGUUAGUAUGUAGAUUAUGUACCACUCUCCACAAGAAGAAAUAGCCUUUGGUCCUGCUUGCUGGUUAUGGGACUAUUUGAGAAGAAGCGGCGCUUCAGGGUUUUUACUUCCCCUUUCUGGUGGAGCAGACAGCUCGUCUGUGGCAGCUAUUGUUGGAUGCAUGUGCCAACUUGUUGUUAAAGGUAUGUUGGACUGUGAUUCUCUUAUUGGACAACCAUGUGAAUAACUUGAAGCAAUGUUCAAGAAUUCGCUAGGUGGUAACUAGAUGUUUCGUAUAAAACUAGCGACCAGACAAAUUAUUCGGGGCCUAAGACCCCGUCUAGGGGUUAACAAACUAUCAAUUUAUUUUUUAUAUAUUUUACAUUUACAUUCGAUUUUUUAGCUUUUGGGUUUAAUUAUAAAUUUAUUUUGAUGAACUAUAAAAAAAUUACAUAUACAAAAAGAAAAUAAAGUAGACAAAUUUGUGGAUUUGCACUAACAUUAUUGUUUAAUUUUAGCAGAUUCAAAUUAAUUUAGAUUGAUUUAGACCAGUUUAAACCCAUUUUAACCAAUUUAAAAUGGUUUAAACCGAUCAAAUGGAGAAGAUUGUUACCAAUUUAUUGUCUAGACCAAUAUUUAGAAUAUCGACUUUGACUGGAAGAGACUUCCAUGAUGUUGUUGAUAUUUUUCUCGUGUAGAGAUUGCAAAUGGAGAUGAGCAAGUGAAAACUGAUGCGAAACGGAUUGGGAACUAUACUAAUGGAGAGUUUCCAUCUGAUAGCAAAGAGUUUGCUAAGCGAAUAUUUUACACUGUGUUUAUGGGGUCUGAAAACAGGUAAUUUAGUUAACAGUAACAAAGAAGAUAUCGCUGCAGCAAACAUGAAACGUUUUGCUUAUUGAGAUCUUGAUUUUGCAGUUCUGAGGCGACAAAAAUGCGUGCAAAGCAGCUGGCAGACGAGAUCGGUGCAUGGCAUCUUGAUGUUUGCAUAGAUGGCGUUGUCUCUGCGGUUCUAACUUUAUUUCAAACGGUUACUGGCAUGCGUCCUCGGUAUAAGGUAUCUAGCACUGGAUCAACAAUCCAAACUUGAUGAUAAUAAAAUGAAAUGAAAUGAAGAGGAAAUGGUUAUGGGUUUUGUUGUGUACAGGUUGAUGGAGGAUCAAACGUUGAGAAUCUUGGGUUGCAGAACAUUCAAGCACGGAUGAGAAUGGUGUUAGCGUUUAUGUUAGCGUCUCUCUUGCCUUGGGUUCAUAGCAAACCAGGCUUUUACCUUGUUCUAGGCAGCUCCAAUGUUGAUGAAGGACUUCGUGGUUACCUGACAAAGGUGAUGGGGACUUAUCUCUUUUUACUGCUACAUAGAUUGUUAAUGUAAAUACACUCUUUUGGUUGAAACAGUAUGAUUGUAGCUCAGCAGACAUAAACCCCAUAGGAAGUAUUAGUAAACAGGAUCUGAGGUUGUUCCUAAGAUGGGCUGCAACGAAUCUCGGUUAUCAGUCCUUGGCAGAGAUAGAAGCUGCUCCACCAACAGCUGAGCUUGAGCCCAUUCGUUCUGACUAUUCUCAGGUAAUAACAAAACUGUUUGGGAGUCUCUAUUAGGCGGGUAGUUUGGUUCAACAUAAACUUACUGAACUAAUCCAAAAUAAAGUUUGGUAUUUGGUUAGUUCGGUUUUUGAAAAUCCUAUCAAAGUUUUUUAGUUGGUCAUAUUUUUGUUUAAUUUUUUAUUAAAAUUUCGGAUAAGUUUGGUUAAAUUCGGUUAGUUUGGUUAUUUGGUUUGAAAUUUGGUAUGUUUUGAUUAUAGUUGCUGAACUGAACCAAAAACCAAACUUUUUAUAAAUCCUACUGAAUCAAACCGAACUAACUGAAAAUUUCAGUUUGGCGGGUUCGGUUCAAAAUCCCAUCCCUGGUUUCUAUAGCUGAAGUGUUUAUUCAGACAUCUUGUGUUGUGAAAACAGCUUGAUGAAGUCGACAUGGGAAUGACAUAUGAAGAGCUCUCAGUCUAUGGAAGGAUGAGGAAGAUAUUCCGGUGUGGCCCAGUUUCCAUGUUCAAGGUUUGAGUUCUGAUCUUUAGACAAAUGUACUAAACCAUGAUGCACUGAGACUAUAAUUGUUUUGUAAUGAUUCUGCAGAAUCUAUGUUACAAGUGGGGAACAAAGCUAAGCCCAGCAGAAGUAGCUGAGAAAGUGAAGUACUUCUUCAAGUAUUAUUCGAUCAAUCGACACAAGAUGACUGUCCUCACACCGUCCUACCACGCUGAGGUACUGCUACUGAACAGAAACUUGUCUGAUACAUGUUUUGAAACUGUCACGAGUGAGAGAAAACUCAAUAGGGGUUCUCUUGUUGCAGAGUUACUCUCCAGAGGACAACAGGUUCGAUCUGAGGCAGUUUCUGUAUAAUAGCAAGUGGCCAUACCAGUUCAAGAAGAUUGACGAGAUUGUUGACGGCCUAAAUGGUGACUCAGUUGCUUUUCCAGGAGAAGAAGCAAGCUACGGCAAAGAAGUUGGAGUCGUGGCUGCAAAUUCCGGUGAUCCAAGCGCGGGUCUCUGACGAAACCUCUUUACCUCUCUGUUUCAACUUAAAAGUGGAAGUUUGGAACAGUGUGGAAACAAAUAACAUGUUUGUAUUGAAGAGAACAACAAAACAACAGUAACCACUUCCAAUAAGUUUUCUU
Molecule: long non-coding RNA, 3956 nt
Filed under: Brassica napus (rape)
Lineage: Eukaryota; Viridiplantae; Streptophyta; Magnoliopsida; Brassicales; Brassicaceae
Description: long non-coding RNA (BNAP_LNC014704)
Source: RNAcentral